UACGUAGGGGGCUAGCGUUAUCCGGAAUUACUGGGCGUAAAGGGUGCGUAGGUGGUUUCUUAAGUCAGAGGUGAAAGGCUACGGCUCAACCGUAGUAAGCCUUUGAAACUGGGGAACUUGAGUGCAGGAGAGGAGAGUGGAAUUCCUAGUGUAGCGGUGAAAUGCGUAGAUAUUAGGAGGAACACCAGUUGCGAAGGCGGCUCUCUGGACUGUAACUGACACUGAGGCACGAAAGCGUGGGGAGCAAACAGG
This 252-nucleotide ribosomal RNA is filed under the name uncultured bacterium. RNAcentral describes it as "partial 16S ribosomal RNA". It matches the Rfam family "Bacterial small subunit ribosomal RNA", at positions 524 to 776 of the family's 1533-position model. The record is from RNAcentral.